This 285-nucleotide unclassified non-coding RNA is filed under the name Hevea brasiliensis (rubber tree). Lineage: Eukaryota; Viridiplantae; Streptophyta; Magnoliopsida; Malpighiales; Euphorbiaceae. The record is from RNAcentral.
UCACCCAGCUCGCGCGCGCGCAACGAGCGGUCUACCAGCGCCAUCGACAUGGUCUUGCGUUCGCUCUGCCCGAAGGCGAGGCCAUAACCACGCGUGAAGCACGGCGCUUGCGCAGCCGAGCCUUUGAACUGAUUGACCAUCUGACAUUCGGUCAGCGUGAUUGACCCGAGCGGCACCGCGAAGCCCGCGUCUUCCGCGACGAAUUCGACCUCGACUUCNNNNNNAUUUCGCCCGCGAAGGGGUGCGUCCGGCCAAAGCCGCGCUGGGUCGAAUAGCCCAACGCCA